CUGCCGCGUGGAGGAUGAAGGUCCUCUGGAUUGUAAACUUCUUUUAUCUGGGAAGAAAUGUCUUNUUUUCUAAAGGACUUGACGGUACCAGAUGAAUAAGCACCGGCUAACNUCCGUGCCAGCAGCCGCGGUAAUACGGAGGGUGCAAGCGUUAUCCGGAUUCACNUGGGUUUUAAAGGGUGCGUAGGCGGAAUGGAAAGUCCGUUGUGAAAUCUCCGAGCUUUAACUCGGAAAUUGCGGUGGAUACCUAUCANUUCUUUGAAUACCUGUUGAGGUUAGCGGAAUAUGUCAUGUAGCGGUGAAAUGCAUAGAUAUGACAUAGAACACCAAUUGCGAAGGCAGCUGGCUAAACAGAUAUUGACGCUUGAGGCACGAAAGCGUGGGGAUCAAACAGGAUUAGAUACCCUGGUAGUCCAAGGGCG
This 422-nucleotide ribosomal RNA is filed under the name uncultured bacterium. Its description in RNAcentral is "bacterial SSU rRNA". It matches the Rfam family "Bacterial small subunit ribosomal RNA", at positions 394 to 803 of the family's 1533-position model. The record is from RNAcentral.